This 403-nucleotide ribosomal RNA is filed under the name bacterium. RNAcentral's name for it is "partial 16S ribosomal RNA". It matches the Rfam family "Bacterial small subunit ribosomal RNA", at positions 355 to 776 of the family's 1533-position model. The record is from RNAcentral.
UGGGGAAUAUUGCACAAUGGGGGAAACCCUGAUGCAGCGACGCCGCGUGAACGAAGAAGGUAUUCGUAUCGUAAAGUUCUGUCCUAUGGGAAGAUAAUGACAGUACCAUAGAAGAAAGCUCCGGCUAAAUACGUGCCAGCAGCCGCGGUAAUACGGAUGGAGCGAGCGUUGUCCGGAAUUAUUGGGCGUAAAGGGUACGCAGGCGGUUUAAUAAGUCGAAUGUUAAAGAUCGGGGCUCAACCCCGCAAAGCAUUGGAAACUGAUAAACUUGAGUAGUGGAGAGGACAGUGGAAUUCCUAGUGUAGUGGUGAAAUACGUAGAUAUUAGGAGGAAUACCAGUAGCGCAGGCGACUUUCUGGACACAAACUGACGCUGAGGUACGAAAGCGUGGGGAGCAAACAGG